This 1105-nucleotide unclassified non-coding RNA is filed under the name Hevea brasiliensis (rubber tree). The record is from RNAcentral. Lineage: Eukaryota; Viridiplantae; Streptophyta; Magnoliopsida; Malpighiales; Euphorbiaceae.
UUACAUUUAUUUUUGAUACAUUAGCUUGUCCAUCCAACUUAAAAGCAUCAUGAAUGUGAAUGAUACAGACGUAGUAGUAUACAAUGAUCAAAUGAUUCUAAAGAUAAUAAACUGUUCAGAUUUUGCUGGUUGCUUCCCAGAUAGUUGUACCAUCACAAGUGCAAAGCUUCUUGUAGUUCUCACCAACCCCGGCACUUCUAGCUAUCACUGCUGCUGUAAGUCCUGGGUCUGAUUUAUCUUCAGUAGCAUAUACAGCAAUAGCUCUCCCAAUCAGGUCAGCAACUCUCAGCUUCUCUUUAGGACCGGAAUAAAAUGCCUCUCCUUUCUCGUCAACAUCCAGUGUUCCCAGGUCACCGAGUGGUAGGCUGUACAAUUUUCCAGUACUAGCUGCCCCCCUCGUCAAAUCACCAAAUUCAUUAAUAGACCAAGCAUGCUUCCCAGGUGACAGGCCACUGAAGUUUGCUUCAAUCCUAGUUAAUUCCAUAUUGACUUGAGCCAAGCGAACAACACCAAAAAUAUCUGGUCCUUUGAAUUCGGCAACGGCAGCAGAUAUAAGGAAAUCAUCCGGUACUCCUUGCCCAAUCAGACGGGCUUUUCGACCUGUUUGCUCCAAGGCUUCAGUCAUUGUCUUCACAGGUGAAGAUCCAAGAAUUCUCACUACUUGAUUAUCAAGAUCCACAUCUACAUUCUUGACUCCUUCUACGGUUUGCAAUUUGCUCUUGACAGCACUAACACAGCCUUGACACGACAUAUCCACCAUAAACUCUGUCAGCAACUCAGGCAAAACGACUCCAUUAUCGGAGGAAGUUUGGUGAUUUGAAGAAUGCGUUUCCAUAUGAAGAGCUGAAGGAGGACUCUUUUUUUGUAGAUUCUUCGCGAAGCUUAAUUGGAGAAUCGAAUUCGAACUAGAAAUUGAGCCAAAUUUUAGAUUUUUCAACGGACGUUCAAACUGCGAAGAAGAAGAAAUAGAAGAAACAGCAAAAGCAGCAGCUGGAAUAGCAGCAGCAAUGGCGGUAGUUUUUGCAGUCACAAUGGACCUCAAAAAUGCCAUUUUUUUUUACUCUUUUUAUAUUCAGAGUUUUGGUCAUAGAGAAGAGAAGUCGAU